This 374-nucleotide ribosomal RNA is filed under the name uncultured organism. Its description in RNAcentral is "partial 16S ribosomal RNA". It matches the Rfam family "Bacterial small subunit ribosomal RNA", at positions 527 to 896 of the family's 1533-position model. The record is from RNAcentral.
GUAGGUGGCAAGCGUUGUCCGGAAUUAUUGGGCGUAAAGCGCGCGCAGGCGGUUCUUUAAGUCUGAUGUGAAAGCCCACGGCUCAACCGUGGAGGGUCAUUGGAAACUGGAGAACUUGAGUACAGAAGAGGAAAGCGGAAUUCCACGUGUAGCGGUGAAAUGCGUAGAGAUGUGGAGGAACACCAGUGGCGAAGGCGGCUUUCUGGUCUGUAACUGACGCUGAGGCGCGAAAGCGUGGGGAGCAAACAGGGAUUAGAUACCCUGGUAGUCCACGCCGUAAACGAUGAGUGCUAAGUGUUAGGGGGGUUUCCGCCCCCUUAGUCCUGCAGCUAACGCAUUAAGCACUCCGCCUGGGGAGUACGGCCGCAAGGCUG